AAGGCAUGUAGAGCAGGAAAUAAGCACAAUACGGGUAAAAUGAGACAAUGUCAGAAUAGGACACCUUGGUUGAAAGAAAAUGUAUUUGUGGAAGAAAAAAGAACCUUCUGGGAGAUUCUGAAGUCUAGUGGUUGGGUGACGAGGCUGAGGCAGGAGAAUGGCUUGAACCUGGGAGGCAGAGCUUGCAGUGAGUGUAAGAGGUAAGGAGUCUGUUCUGCUGGGGAGUUCUGCUAUCUUCCACACAUGGUUUCCAUCUUCUAAUUUAAAGCUAACCUUUGAAUGAGAGAAACUUCUGCUGAUGUCAAAUGACCACAAGGAUAUUAACAACUGGACUUGGAGCCUGUCGGCCGCUGUUGGAUACACCUCCUUUACCAAGGCGGCUUUCUUCACUACUGCCACUGACCUUGCAAACAGCUCCGACAAAGGUCGGAAUGGAUUCAUUGAUCAGCUAGACCGAGCAUAUGACAGUCUGUGCCUUAAUUGAAUCCCAAAAGGGGGCAGACUGGGUUUUUAUUACAGAGGCCAGCCGAUAGCACUCAUUAAAAGCUCCACAGACUGUG
This 560-nucleotide long non-coding RNA is filed under the name Homo sapiens (human). RNAcentral's name for it is "HSALNT0366978". Lineage: Eukaryota; Metazoa; Chordata; Mammalia; Primates; Hominidae. The record is from RNAcentral.